UCCUUUUCUUUUUGCAACUGACAAGACUUU
This 30-nucleotide non-coding RNA is filed under the name Rattus norvegicus (Norway rat). The record is from RNAcentral. Lineage: Eukaryota; Metazoa; Chordata; Mammalia; Rodentia; Muridae.